GACUAUUUGCACGCUUAGAUUGAGAAAAGGCCAAGGAAGUUAUGGUGGUUGGAGUGAAGAGGAGUCGGCCGUGGUGAAGAUGUAGCACUCCGCCAACUCAAGCUACUUUGGAAGGUCAUAUCUUGGAAUUCACUCAAGAUUUUCAAGAAAAAAUUAUUGGAGGUGAUGCGGCUUCAAUUCUAGUUUCUGGAAUGCUAAAGCAUAUGCGUUGCACAACUGGAAUGGAGCAAGGGCAAGGGUUUUUGUGGCCAGGGGUACUCUGACUAGGCCGAGAAAGUCAGGCAACUUUGAGGCAAGAUUUCUUUUAGCUUAAUUGUUGUUUUGCAUUGAAUUUUGUUGGAGGACAAGCGCUUGUAAGUCUACUUUCUAAAAUAGUAAAGCUUGUUAUAAACAAGUUAGUGAUGCAACCAUUGUAGUGGAAUUCGUGCAAGGGGGUCGAUACCAUGACUGGAAGGAGGCGACUUCCAAUUUUCUUUAAUUUUUAGGAUGAAUCUUGGAUAAAUUAGGUCAAUUGCACGAAUUGUCAGUUGGAUGAUAAGUUGACUUAUGGUUGGAUGAAUGAAUCUUUAGGUGAAAAUUGGAUGAACAAACUUUGGAUGAAUGAAUGUUAUGGGAUGAAUGAGAAUUAAGGGAUGGAUGAUUGAUGAAUGGAAAUUUAGGAUGAAUGAACUUAGGGUUUAUGGAUGAACUUAGGAUUUAUGGAUGAACUUAGGAUUUAUGAAUAAACUUAGGGUUUAUAAAAAUUAUGUGUGAGUGAAGUUAAUCCACUUGACUACUAAACGCAAUUAAGGGUGGAGGAAUUUAGCUCACAUAAAUGGUGCGUUAGCCGGGAGCCCAUCUUAGAGACGUUGUCUAACCACAUUUUUUUUUUUUUUUUUUUUUUUUUUUUUUUUGAGUGAGAUGAUUGAUUACAUGGAGGAAAGAGAUAAUAGGAGCAAGAUGAUGGGGUCGUGAUUGGA
Molecule: long non-coding RNA, 959 nt
Filed under: Physcomitrium patens
Lineage: Eukaryota; Viridiplantae; Streptophyta; Bryopsida; Funariales; Funariaceae
Description: long non-coding RNA (PPAT_LNC011335)
Source: RNAcentral